AUCGCUCUCAUUUGGUUUAAUGAUUUUUCCCAUCCAAUAUUUGUAUGUAGAGGCCGAACUCAAACCUGAGAUGUGUGGGCCAAACCUCCGGUUUCAUACCUGUAUGAACUUCAGGACACCACCAAUCGAGUACAGCACAGCCCACCAAUAAAGGUCAUGGUUGAAGGCUUAAUGACUCCUUGGGAAUGAGCUGAUCCAUCGUCCUCGUCCUUGAUGAGAGAAAACGACGGGUUCUGCAUUUAAACGUCUCAAUUGGGAUUCUACGGUGUUUACUCGAGUGCCAAGAACACAGGAUCAUUGGGAGAUGAUGAGCGAGAACAAGGGAUGAAAGUUGUGUGGAAAUGAUCUUCAGAGAGCGAUCAUUUACUCCAUUCUGGGUUCGGCUAGUGGCAGGAAAUUAAUGUGAGAGGAAACCUAACUCUCGUCUCGGCGACCGAAGUGCAACAAAAUAACUCCCCAUGAAUCUCUUUCGUGACAUGCGGGACUGCUAAUUUGAUCUCUUUGCGGCAGAGUGGAUCCAUCGAACUCGGCGAGCCAAGUGGUUUUCAAACUUGGCAAGGAAAAAACUCUCGAGACUUGGCGUGAUUUUCCGUGGGUGAUUAGAUGUGCGAGCUGGCAUUUACUUCCUUCAAGUGGUGGUUCGCUCCUCCUCAGAAAGAGAUUCAAAUGCGUAUCAAGCAAGUCUGAACCUGACCUAGUUUUCACCGGUGGAUGAGCAAUCACGCGAGUUGCCAUAAAGCUACUGUGGGAAGACGAACAAGAAGCUCAAGUGCUAAUUAAAAUUGCGGGUCUCAAGCGCGAGAAACAUGGGGUUGAAAAGGAUCCGAUGUUGAGUAGUCUUGACUCCCUGAGUUUGACGAUCUUAACAAGGCAUAGGCGACUUUGGGUCUUUUGUGCCAAUCGAGCUUACCUGAAAAGAGAGAAACGAAGAAUAUGAGUCAAAGCUUUCCCCGACUAAUGAAGUUAAAUGGUUAUGCACAAGCAAUAUAAUGAAUGCCCUUUUACUCUAUUCUGAGACUGGUACAGUUUCUCGGUCAUGACAAGGCCCUCACAGCUGGUAGUUCAACAUGUAAUAUAUGAGUCCAUUAGGCUUGAAGGCAGCCAACGCCUCUUUUAUCUUCAAGUAUCUGUUAAUUAAGGACCCGCUGGAAAGACUCUCUCAAGAGAUAACGGAAGCUUGAGUAAACCACUCAACGCGGUUCUUGGACAAACAAACCCCUUCGUGAGAUCUCGAGAAAAAAAGACCUUUCUCAACCAUCUCCUUCAUGGCCUUCACUUAGUAGCUCUGUUGUCAAAGGCCCAUUCUCCAAAAAAACUUUCUUCCUCACUCAGAGAGUCCUAAUCCGUUUAUUCUCCGCAUGGAAUUUGUUUCAUCCAAGCCCGAUAAAUGAGGGGAGAAUUCCGGUUUUCAAGGGACAGUAGUGGAAAUGAAUGAUGAAUAAUGACCUUGAUUCUUCAGGGUCCACGUGCCUCCAACCUCCAAAUGCGGAGUAAUUCAUUUUCCCCAAUCUUGCAUGAUCGAGUGGCCGAUGGAGGCAUGAGACGGGGGAAAAGGCCCUUUAAAAUGGUUUGGUAGCGUGGGAAGAUGCCAAUGGAAUAUCAUAAUUUGUCUGUACAUCUAUCUCGGAGAAAGAUCGAUCCCUUUUAAGGAUGUUUCGAAAUCUGUUCAGGUCUAAAAAUGGAUUUAAACAAGUUAUCCGGGCUUCGUUUGGUGUCCUCCCACUGAUCUAUCCAUGAUGCAAUAAUUCAAGUCGACAAAGAAAAACAUCAUCAGCCAACCCGCUCGCCCUGGGUCCUUUUUUGCGUCAUGAUCAAGUUUAUUUGCAUAUCAUGAUAGGACAAGUGGAAUUGCUUGACUAAAGGAUGUUGUAUAACAUUUGAGCAGGAUGCUCGGAAUGGAUGAUACUGGCCGUACUUCAUCAAACCCUGAUCUUGACAGCAAUGAAGCCACAAAUCCGUUCGCAUCACGGACAUCAAGACAUUUAAUGCAUACAAUCAACCCAACCCUCUAGCAGCUCACAACAACCAACGCAAACAUGAUCUUCCUCAUUUGAUGGAGGCAAAGAUCAAAGGAAUGAUGUGAUUCCCGCUAUUAUCUGAACACAAUGAAUCUGAUUCAAGUACUUAUCGAGCUCUGAUGUGCCAUGCCGAAAUUCCAAGCCAAAUGAGCGUCAUCCUGCUCCUGAGAUGGUGAUUAUGGAUUUAAAGCGCUUCCAAAGCUCAAUCAAACAAAGUCAGGAUAUGAGAACCUGAUCAUUGGGAGGGAGGGUUGAUUGUCUUCCUUGCAAAUGAUUUCCGGCCAAUUCCUAUUAACUCCCUGCAUUGUCUUCCAAAUCGGCAGUCAGUGUCUCCAAAUUAUGGAAGGAAUUUUGUUCUUCCCAUCGUGGUGUUUGGAAUUUUAAAUAGCUCACUCAGCCUCAAUCAAACAUUCUAAACAACUGUAUUGAAUGAGUAUUCGAGUUUUCGAGGUCGAAGCAUACAAUACCCGACUGGCCAUUGUGUUUAUGCGAUUCUUGAGAGGGUUCAUUAGAACCAUAUCAAUUGUUUAAGGAAUCGUUUGCUUUUCUCCAAGGCCUCGCGUGGCAUGAGGUCCGGGUUUAAUAUUCGUCUACGUUGGUUUGGACAAGGAUGACAAACAUGCAAUUCCCAAGAACCCAAUGAUCAUCACCGAUUCAACUUCAAAGCGAGAAGUGUUCACGGAACGACCCGCAGAGAUGAAUGGAUGCGAUGGAUGAAUGCAUCAUUCUCCGUCGUCUGCCAUGGUUCAAAGGCCUGAGAUAUCAGUCAAGGAAGUCCAUCCAUCCGUCCAAAUCCCAAGAUUGAGCAAGAGGAGUCAAGGGGACCGGGGAGGAAAAACUAGUUUGCCCUCCGACUUUCAAGACGGGAUAUUUGAGUCUAUAUUGACUUAAAAAGCAUUCACGGAUGACGACCUUCACGGAUGUCCUGAAAGCCACCUCAUCAAAACGAUUAGUUUGUCCACCAAUCGCUUGUGAUAAAUUUCCCGGACAAGCGUAUCAGACACUCUCUCAGUUCUAACUGAUACGAGAGAAUUGCUUAAGCAAACUCAAAUCCCAUGGACGAAUGAUGGAUGAGCAGAACCCCACAUUCCUGGUUAUAACACACGAAAAUUGGUACUAGCUCUUCGGAAAUCCGGUAAUGACCAAGGUGACCUUCGUCAGUGAUACGUGGACCAUAUCAGCACACACAUCGUCGAUGAGGUCAUGUAGAGAGACUAAUAGUUACUCUUCUCACACGUCAAACUGGUUCUUAUACCUUCGAAGCUCUGAAAAAAGUCCUCCUUCCCCCCCUCGAUGAUUGACCUUCCUAGUCCGACUCCGAAUGCACCUAUCUGCUUUAAACGGGACAUGAAAAUGAAGGGAUAAUGUCUUCCACGACCACUCUCCCCUCGCUCCUCCUACAGACUGAAGAGAAAGCCCAUAAAUACCAGAUUCCGAGGCAACACGUGUUCAAUUUACAUGUCACCCUACAAACGCAAACCUCUCUUGCGAGUUCAAUAGGCCAGUCAAAUCAGUCAUAAGCUGUGAUGGUUGGCCAAGAGCCAUAAACCAUCAUAAUGAGGAAUCCGCCUACAGUAUAGGAGUAAAAUGCGCUGGCGGCUUCUUUUCUUCGUCAGAGAGAGGAUGGAGAGCUGGACUGUCCAAAGAGAAAUUUCAACUUAACGCAAGAUGAGCGCUUGAUUCUUUUUUGUCCGACCCUCCCGAGGAACAAGUCUUCAAAGUCCAAUAAAUCAAAUUGUAACCACAAGGUAUUGUUUCGGCAAGAGGGUGGCAAAAAGCACAUUCUUCCCAAUGAGCAGAACAGUUGGCCUCAAUGAGGGAGAGCGAGAGAAGGAACAAGAAAUCGUCGAGAGGUGUUUUGGGUGCCUCUUCGGUCAUUAACACACGGCAGUUUCUUCGGAUCCCUCCUCCUCGGUGGGUGCCAAUUACCACAUUGUGUCCAGCUGAUUUCAAUUACUUCUGGCUUUUCGAUCUAUCAACAACCAACAGACAGAGACUCUCCGAGGGACGAAGACGAAAUUCAAUGCCACCUUUUGGGUUUUCUCUCAUUGCAACCCACGAGUUCGGUUGAGCAACUCAGACGCCUAACCAUGGCCAUCCAUUGUGCUAAAAUAUAAAAUCCAAUGACUCAAAUGCAUUAAUAAACGUUUACAUUUCUUUC
Long non-coding RNA from Tigriopus californicus, 4179 nucleotides. RefSeq lists it as uncharacterized. The record is from RefSeq and is a predicted model, not a curated record. The transcript is spliced from 4 exons. NCBI's taxonomy places the organism in Eukaryota, Metazoa, Arthropoda, Copepoda, Harpacticoida, Harpacticidae.